AAGAUGCUGUCUGGGGCUGUGGUCUCAUGUGAGGUUGAGGGUCUUCUUCUCAACUCUCAUCCUUAAAGUACAGAAGAAGAAAUAAGAGGAGGAUGAAGGAAUAAGAGAUUAAUCUUGACUUUGAGCCCCAGGGACUAAGGCAAAUGAACAUUGGUACCAACAUUUUCCUUUGGGCAUGCAGUACAUUUGCCUCUACUGGAAAACCAUUAUGAUUCCAUACAAGUCAGGAUGACAUAAUGAAG
Suricata suricatta (meerkat) is the source of this 242-nucleotide long non-coding RNA. RefSeq lists it as uncharacterized. The record is from RefSeq and is a predicted model, not a curated record. Lineage: Eukaryota; Metazoa; Chordata; Mammalia; Carnivora; Herpestidae. The transcript has 3 exons.